UACGUAGGUGGCAAGCGUUGUCCGGAUUUACUGGGCGUAAAGAGCGCGCAGGCGGUCGAAUAAGUCGAAUGUGAAAGCCCCCGGCUCAACUGGGGAGGGUCACGCGAUACUGUUCGACUCGAAGGCAGGAGAGGGAAGUGGAAUUCCCGGUGUAGUGGUGAAAUGCGUAGAUAUCGGGAGGAACACCAGUGGCGAAGGCGACUUCCUGGCCUGUUCUUGACGCUGAGGCGCGAAAGCUAGGGUAGCAAACGGG
Molecule: ribosomal RNA, 253 nt
Filed under: uncultured bacterium
Lineage: Bacteria
Description: partial 16S ribosomal RNA
Rfam family: Bacterial small subunit ribosomal RNA
Source: RNAcentral